RNAcentral lists this long non-coding RNA (6168 nucleotides) under Selaginella moellendorffii. RNAcentral's name for it is "long non-coding RNA (SMOE_LNC001809)". The record is from RNAcentral. Lineage: Eukaryota; Viridiplantae; Streptophyta; Lycopodiopsida; Selaginellales; Selaginellaceae.
GCUCCGCUGAAUCGAAUAGAAUUGGAGAAUGUCAAACUGCUGAUAGCCGCUGGGGCCGAUCCAACGCUGCCGACUUAUGAUGGCUUUUGCCCGCUCGCCAGAGCGGCAUUCUCGAAUGAGGACGAAGAGAUCUUGCGAAUUAUGGCUAAGGUGGCCAGCAAUAUCAACGUGAAACCAGGGGAGUAUACGGUUCUCCGCAGUGCUGCAGAGGCUGGAGUGUGUCGAGUUUUACUUGAGUGCGGGGCGUCGAUGGACGAUGACGAUGGAUUACCCGACUUGAGGUCUGCUUGCAAUCCAUGGUAAUCUAAGUUCUUGCUUAUUCAAUUUUGUUCUAUGCACUUGAAGUGUAAGCAGAACAAGUUAAAGAAGAACAACUGCUAGAACGGUAGCUACUGCCCCAAAAAUGGGCACUUGCAAUCCAACAGCUGCGCCCUCUUGCAAGAAAUCUGGGCUUGGAAACGGGCUGGGAUCAAAAUCCCUCCUCGCUCUUCUUCCGGGAACUACGGCUUGAUCAUCCUCGUCUUCAUUUCCACGCCCACGAACUCUGCCUCGUAACGAGCUCUCCAGCAUCAAUGCCGGAUCGAAUGUAUCCUCUCCUUGGAUUGAGACCGCCAGCAGCAAAACCAGGAGGAAGAUCGACGCCACCAAAUUCGCACAAAUCGCCAUUCCUUUCCUUCUUUUUGCGAUCGAAGCAAUGCUAUUGCUAUCUAAUUGAUCCAACGCUUUUUAUAUAUCGCGAGGGGAGAUUUUGACCCUGUCAAGAAAGGAAAGUUCCUUGGGAGCGCAUUUGACCGUGUGUACGCGAAAUCUAAUCUCACACACCACCUCACUUUCUUGACUAGAUGAGUCCACGCGACGAUAUUCUUUUCGUGUCUCCCGGCAGAGUUUUCUACUCAUUCUUCGAAAGUGGCCUUGGAUUUGGACGCGACAAAGGAUCGCUAUAUAGGUCGAAAGAAGGGUAUUUUCAUCCCAAAAGAUCACUGGCAAUGAAGCCUUCGAUCCUUGUUUUGGCAUUGGUUUUGAUCUUGGUAGCUCUCGAGGCAUGGACAAUUCGAGCGGAGCAACAAGCCCACACUCCAGAAUCCAAUCCAGUCCAAUUGCAGCGCCGAUCUAGACCACGAGCUAGAGGCGCGGGCACUAGCGGCAGCGCUGGAUUGGAGGUGUCGGCGCUUGGGAUAAUUGGAAUUGUCACUGCCGCCAUAGCCGCGAUUGCGUAAAGAUUCUUUGUAUAUUCUUUGGCAAUGUAAAGCACUCUUUUCUCUUUUCCUUGGAAGCCCUGAUGGGUCGUGUGUUACCAGCGAGUGAAGAGCCGCCGCCAGCACAGGAGUGUGAGUUUGAUGUAGAUGAUCUUCUCCAGGUAAAAGUCUCCGGGGUUCUUGGAAUGGGUGUCUCCAGAUUUUCAAUCUCUAGGCUGCAAGGUAUGGAGAACUCGAGGAAGUCAAGCUCGUUGCUCCUCUUUUGCCGCAGAAUUCACAUAACGAGCAGGGAUGCACAGGUAGAAGAUUUCUCGCUUUGAUUUUUUCUCGCGUAUGAUCUUACUACUCUAAAGCAUUGCAUAUGGCUUCUGCCAAUGGUCACUUGAGCAUUGUCAAGUAUCUCGUCGAACGAGGAGAAGUAAGUCGCGUAGCGAAGGAGAUCUUAGAAAAUGUUUUUGAUCGCUCGUGUUCACAGAAUGUUAAUGCUUGCAAUGCCGAGAACAAUACCCCUCUUCAUUGGGCUGCUCUAAAUGGCCAAGUUCAGGCAUGUUUUUCUUCUUGCUAUUCUUUCGUGAUUCGCAAAGUGUUCUUCAUUUGGAUUUCUUGUUUUUUUUUCCCAGGUUGUGGAGGAGCUUAUUGCUUCGGGAGCUAGCGCCUCAGCUUUGAACCGGUCUGAUCAUGAACUUUAGGCUCGAAAGUGUAUCGGGUUUCAAUUGCUCUUGCUUUUCCAUUUUCCAGUUACGAUCGGACGCCGGUAGACGAGGCCCUGUCUCGGGGAAAACAAGAAGUCGUGAACGCCAUAGCAAUUCUCACAGCCGCGGCAUCCCUGGACGACACAAGUAUACAAGAAGAGAUUAACUAGUAAUUUAGUUGAAGAAGCUGGUUAGCCUCCUCACAGCCUGGGGCUUGAGGCCAUGGUGGAUAUUAGAUAAGCUCGCGUCUAUUUCCUAACAAUCGAUCGCGCCAUAGUAGAUCAAGCUUUCCCAGACCAUUCAAAUUAAAUUAUGCUUUCUACUUUACUUUCAUAGGUUCCUUAAGAAUAGAAUGUUUUUUUUAUGUAAAGUGAUAUUUAUAUUAUAAUUUUACCUAUUCAUUUAACUUAUAUUCUUUUCAAACAGAAAACCCAAACAUUUGAAAUAGAUGAUUGAAUCAUAUAUUUUUAACACUUCUAAAAAGAAUUAUAUUUUCUUCUUAGAUAGAGAUUAUAAUUUUUUAAUAAGUUAAAUGAAUUAUAAUAAUAAAGAAAAAGCUAUUAUAUGUUUAAGAGCUUAUAAUAGAUGGAAAACACUAAAAUUACAAAAAAAUGCAUACAGUUAUUUAAAGAUUUAGUAUUAUAAAACUUAUUUAUAAAAUAGAAUAAUAAGAAGGUUAAUUAUUUAAAACUUUCAUUUAUAGGUUAUAAAUUUUAUUAGAAAGAAUAAUUUAUAAUUAUUCUAACAUUACAAAAUAAUAUUGUUGAAUUAUUAUAAAUAAAAUAUAUUAUAAAUUAGCACUAUAUUCUUUAAAAAAGUAAGUUAUAGAUUUAUGAAAAUAGUUUUAAAUAUUUUUUCUUAUAUUGUGUAAGGAAAAAUAUUUAUCAUGCUUUAUUAUAAUGUUUGCUUAGUAGUCCAUUGUAAAAAUAAAAAUGAUGAUUGUAAAGAUAUAAAUGAUAAUUAUAAGUGUUAUAAUUGAGACACAACUCUAAAUAAAUAAGUUUAAGUUAUAGCAAACAUUUAUAUUCUAUACUACUUUAAAUAAUUUAUAAGGUUUAUUUAAAAGAUUUAUCUCAACCAACUUGAAUGUUUAUUAUUUUUAUAUAAAUUAAUUUAACUUUUAAAAAACUAUUAUGGCGUUUUACUUAGAUAAUUAAAUAAUAUUUGAUAGAAAAUAAAUACUUUAAACAAAUAAUGCUAAAGAAAAUAUUUAAUUUUUAUUUCCUUUGGAUAUUAACUUAUAUGAGUGCAUGGAAUACAAAAAUAUGCAUAUCAAUUAGCCUAGAAACCUUAGUUUAUAUACAAAAGGUCUAAAUUGAAACCAAUCCAACAAUUUAUAUCCCACUGUGCUAAUAUUAAUAUAUAGCAUUGUAUCUAUACACUUGGACCUUAUAUCAUUCCUUCCUCUCAAAACAAUAUAAGAUAGUUAGAGUUCUAUUGUGGAUGGGCCAGGAACAUUAUGAGGAAGCAUUAAUGGAUUUAUAAUUGGUGUUAGUUGUUCUUGAUCCCUUUGUACAAAGCAUUUCAAUUAAUAUAUUGUAAACGACUAAAUUUUCCAUUUUACUUUAAUCAUUUAACCACAUUUUUGACCAUUUAGAAUUUCUCUCACAACCUUUAUAACUCAUAUUCCCAACUUAUAGACAUAUUAACCUUAUGGCCAUGUUUAUUUACCUUUAUCUCAUUGGUAAUCCAAAACCACUCAUACCAUAGUCUUAUCUCCCAAAGAUUAAACCCUUCAUCAAUGAGUAGUUAUCUCAAGACCACACUUUAACAUCCUUAGGAUGCACAAAGAAAUGGGAAACACCCUUCAUCAAUAUCCCUUCUUUAGUCUUUAAUAAAUCCCUUUCUAUCCACAGCUGUACUCACUAACAUUGCCACUAGUUUAAGGUUUAAAGGUUUAACCAUUAAAUCUCAUUAACAUUUAGGACUUCCUUGCCGUGUAAGUGUAUCUUUAGUCACUACACAAGAGGAUUGUUCUUCUUCUUUUCCACAGUUUAAGAUUUGGGGAUAAUAUUUCAAAACAUCGUAACCCAAUGUGAGUCUUAUGGGUACUUUUUUUACCUUCUGCCUUUGGGUGCCCUAACUAUGUGGCUAGAGCGAGGUUUUAAUGAGCUAUGCCAAGUAUCCAAGUAUGUGGUGCCACUUAUAUUUAAAUUAGGAGCAUUGACCAUUUGAUUUCCUAGAGGAGCUAAAGUUGGUUCUUGAACACUUUAGUAAGUUACCUCACUUGUCCAUCUAUAUUCAUUUAACCUUAGACUCUUUAAUGGUUAUAUCAUCACCUACUACAUAGAUAUACCUUUGUUUAAUUAUAUUAACUUUUGCUACCAAAUUAGUUUUAUUGGAAUCUUUCCCUUACUAUCCUUUUGGAGUUCACCAAACCCCCCAGGGUUUGGGAGAUGAUUGCUUUGGACUUUCACCUUUGGACUUAGACUCAAACUUAAACUUAGUUCUGAUUUUGGUCUUGGUUUUAGUCUUGGUCUUAGUCCCUAUUUCGAACUCCAUCUCAGACUCUUUAUUAGACUCUAUUUUGAAUUCUUUCUCAAAUUCCAUUUUAGACUCCUUCUCAAACUCCUUGAAUUCCUUAUCGGAAUCGACACUUUUAUGUAUCAUAAUAUUUGCCAUAUGACAGUCCUUCUUGUGCCCUUUUUAGAGACUUAUUCAUUAAUUGCUUCAUGCUCAUUUGUUAAACACUUUGUUCGGAGUUUCACUUUUGUUCUCAACUUUCCAUGUCAAAGCUUUUAAUCUAAACGUGUUACAUUUGUUAAACUUUCAUUUUAACCACUAUUAUGUGCAACACUUUCAACUCCACUUUAGGGCUUAGGGAUUUAUGUUUACCAUCUUGGAGUUUAGAUCUAAAUUCAUGUGUAUUACAACAAACAAACUUAAGAGAUAACUUAUAUAAGGAAUAUAAAAUGUAAAAUAUUUUAUAUAAAAGGAAUAUAAAUUUAAAUAUAAAAGGAAAAGGCCCAUGGAUAAGAAUACCCCCUUUUAAAGUCUUGGGAUACUUAGGGUUAACUAUCUUUAAAUUUAACUAGUAUGCAUUAGCUUAAUUUAGAUUUCUUGGGAGAUACAUGUUUUUUCACACAUUUUUUCAUGUUUUUUUUCACUCUCACAUUCCCAAAGUAUAUACCUUUUUAUCUCUCUUAUGCCACAUUUGACACUUGUCUUUGGGAAAAUUGAUACAUUAACUAAUACAUGCUUUUUAUAGAUUUUGUGCACUCUUACAUUUCUAAGGUAUAUGCCUUUGUGUCUCCUUUGCUCACAUGAUUGGCUUGAGAAAUGAAUUUUGCAUUUAAACAGUAGGUACUAUUGCAUUGCUAACAACAUAAAAUAUUGUGUUUUAGUUACCUAUUGUCCUUUCCACAAUAUCCUCAAUGUGGCUGUUUGAAUAAUUUCUUGAAUAUUCAAGCACUUCAUCCUCACUACAAGUAACAAUCACUUUCCAGCCUUAGCAAUUGUCUUCUUAGCUUUGUCAUAUAUAAAAAAACUCUUCCUGCUACGCUCCUUGCCAGGUCCAUUCCACUAGAUCCCAUGCUAACUCAUGAAUCAUUUGCUAUCUAACCACAAAAGCUUUAACCUUUUAUGACUAGCAAGUCCAUCCUGGCCAUUUUCUUUUCCGCCAUUGUUCUCAUAGUGUUUCACGGCAUCAGCCAUUCUUUUUAAGAAAGCACAAGAAGGAAACAAUUAAGUAAACCAACUGUUCAAGAAGUUUAUGCAUUGAAUGAAAUUUAAGACGACCCUUUCUUACUCCUCACAUAUCUGAAGGAAACGUAGAGGAUUGCAAACAAGGCUGGAUGGACAGUUACAUUGUACAUACUGCCAAUGUUUAAAAUUGAUCUGCAUACUUCUUGAAUGAAUCUUCCCGGUCGGAUGGCGUAGGUUUUCAGCAACACCCUACAGCCGAUCUGAACCGUCGGAUUGAAAAGAGUAUCGUACGGCUAGAAACUGUUUAAAUUCAUAUGAGAAGAACACCUGCUAGAACGGUAGCUACUGCCCCAAAAAUGGGCACUUGCAAUCUAAUAGCAGCGCCCUCUUGCAAGAAAUCUGGUCUUGGAAAUGGGCUGGGAUCAAAAUCCCUCCUCGCUCUUCUUCCUGGAACUACGGCUUGAUCAUCCUCGUCUUGAUUUCCACGCCCGUGAACUCUGCCUCUUAACGAGCUCUCCAGCACCAAUGCCGGAUCGAAUCUAUCCUCUCCUUGGAUUGUGACCGCCAGUAGCAAAACUAGGAGGAAGAUCGACGCCACCAAAUUCGCACGAAUCGCCAUUCCUUCCCUUCUUUUU